AUGAAUGACUACUUCUACUACGACCGUCCCAGGAACGUCUACUUCCUCUUCAUUGCACCGAACCCGAACCGUCCUGUUUGCACGCUUCGAAGGUAUAACCGCCGAGACGAUGACCCGUGGACGAAUGUUUGUGAGGAUUCGUUCGACUACGUUGGUUUGUCUUCGUCAUGGACUCGUUCUUCUUCCUUGUGA
RNAcentral lists this ribosomal RNA (192 nucleotides) under Triticum aestivum (bread wheat). RNAcentral's name for it is "partial small subunit ribosomal RNA". Lineage: Eukaryota; Viridiplantae; Streptophyta; Magnoliopsida; Poales; Poaceae. The record is from RNAcentral.